UACGUAGGGGGCUAGCGUUGUCCGGAAUCAUUGGGCGUAAGCGCGUGUAGGCGGCCCGGUAAGUCCGCUGUGAAAGUCCAGGGCUCAACCCUGGGAUGCCGGUGGAUACUGUCGGGCUCGAGUCCGGAAGAGGCGAGUGGAAUUCCUGGUGUAGCGGUGAAAUGCGCAGAUAUCAGGAGGAACACCAAUGGCGAAGGCAGCUCGCUGGGACGUGACUGACGCUGAGACGCGAAAGCGUGGGGAGCAAACAGG
RNAcentral lists this ribosomal RNA (252 nucleotides) under uncultured bacterium. RNAcentral describes it as "partial 16S ribosomal RNA". It matches the Rfam family "Bacterial small subunit ribosomal RNA", at positions 524 to 776 of the family's 1533-position model. The record is from RNAcentral.